AAAGAUUGACUGAUUCUAUUGUCAGCUCAUUUCAGGCAUAGGCAAACCAGUUCAGUGCGGCGCAACGGUGGUUUAUGAUUGAGACUGACGCGAUUCUAUCAUCGGGAGUUCGUGAUCUUUCUUUGCCUUCUGCCAGUCUUUAAUGCGAGG
This is a long non-coding RNA of Xyrauchen texanus (razorback sucker), 150 nucleotides long. RefSeq lists it as uncharacterized. Lineage: Eukaryota; Metazoa; Chordata; Actinopteri; Cypriniformes; Catostomidae. The transcript is spliced from 3 exons. The record is from RefSeq and is a predicted model, not a curated record.